GGGUCGAUGCCCGAGCGGUUAAUGGGGGCGGACUGUAAAUCCGCCGACAACAUAUGUCUACGCUGGUUCAAAUCCAGCUCGGCCCA
RNAcentral lists this transfer RNA (86 nucleotides) under Cissus microcarpa. RNAcentral describes it as "tRNA-Tyr". It matches the Rfam family "tRNA". Rfam says of the family: Transfer RNA (tRNA) molecules are approximately 80 nucleotides in length. Their secondary structure includes four short double-helical elements and three loops (D, anti-codon, and T loops). Lineage: Eukaryota; Viridiplantae; Streptophyta; Magnoliopsida; Vitales; Vitaceae. The record is from RNAcentral.